GCGCUCGUUUCAGCAGCACAUAUACUAAAAUUGGAACGACACAGAGAAAAUGAGCACGGCCUAUGUGCAAGAAAAUCAUAAAUAAAAAUAAGAUACAAUGUGUC
Molecule: small nuclear RNA, 104 nt
Filed under: Salvator merianae (Argentine black and white tegu)
Lineage: Eukaryota; Metazoa; Chordata; Lepidosauria; Squamata; Teiidae
Source: RNAcentral